ACCUGGCUGGCUCAGUCAGUAGAGCGUGUGACUCUUGACCUCAGGGCCAUGAGUUCAAGCCCCAUGUUGGGUG
Molecule: transfer RNA, 73 nt
Filed under: Neogale vison (American mink)
Lineage: Eukaryota; Metazoa; Chordata; Mammalia; Carnivora; Mustelidae
Description: Neovison vison tRNA
Rfam family: tRNA
About the family: Transfer RNA (tRNA) molecules are approximately 80 nucleotides in length.
Source: Rfam by way of RNAcentral